AAUUUGCUUCUGAAGCUUCAGUUGGUUGUAUUCAUUAUUUUCUUUAGCACUAUUGGUUGAUAAGUUCAUCCCUGAUGAAGUGCUAGAGAUGCUACUAAUAUUGACUCCUUCAAAAAAAAAGAUGGGGCAUUGA
RNAcentral lists this microRNA precursor (133 nucleotides) under Oryza sativa (Asian cultivated rice). RNAcentral describes it as "miR5338 stem-loop (osa-MIR5338)". Lineage: Eukaryota; Viridiplantae; Streptophyta; Magnoliopsida; Poales; Poaceae. The record is from miRBase by way of RNAcentral.